UUCGAGUCCUCUUAAGCCCACCAUGGGGAAUUAGCUCAGCUGGGAGAGCGCCUGCUUUGCACGCAGGAGGUCA
RNAcentral lists this transfer RNA (73 nucleotides) under Sulfurospirillum sp. enrichment culture SL2 clone SL2-ITS1. RNAcentral describes it as "tRNA-Ala". The stretch from base 25 to 73 matches the Rfam family "tRNA", at positions 1 to 47 of the family's 71-position model. From Rfam's summary of the family: Transfer RNA (tRNA) molecules are approximately 80 nucleotides in length. Their secondary structure includes four short double-helical elements and three loops (D, anti-codon, and T loops). Further hydrogen bonds mediate the characteristic L-shaped molecular structure. tRNAs have two regions of fundamental functional importance: the anti-codon, which is responsible for specific mRNA codon recognition, and the 3' end, to which the tRNAs corresponding amino acid is attached (by aminoacyl-tRNA synthetases). tRNAs cope with the degeneracy of the genetic code in two manners: having more than one tRNA (with a specific anti-codon) for a particular amino acid; and 'wobble' base-pairing, i.e. permitting non-standard base-pairing at the 3rd anti-codon position. Lineage: Bacteria; Pseudomonadati; Campylobacterota; Epsilonproteobacteria; Campylobacterales; Sulfurospirillaceae. RNAcentral also lists the same sequence under 1 other name. The record is from RNAcentral.